RNAcentral lists this non-coding RNA (26 nucleotides) under Cricetulus griseus (Chinese hamster). Lineage: Eukaryota; Metazoa; Chordata; Mammalia; Rodentia; Cricetidae. The record is from RNAcentral.
UAUGACAAAGUAGAGGUAGUAGAACA